This 99-nucleotide non-coding RNA is filed under the name Alicyclobacillus sp. RNAcentral's name for it is "c-di-GMP sequence". It matches the Rfam family "c-di-GMP-I riboswitch aptamer". Rfam says of the family: GEMM was predicted in a large-scale screen for bacterial structured RNA regulatory elements. Genes associated with GEMM are involved in a diverse array of functions, including chemotaxis regulation, signal transduction, secretion and chitin. The record is from RNAcentral. Lineage: Bacteria; Bacillati; Bacillota; Bacilli; Caryophanales; Alicyclobacillaceae.
AACUAGAAAAGGCAAACUUAUUGAAAGAUAAGGGCGCAAAACUUCGGGCCUAAAGUGUGCGGAUCAAGUAUUCCACACCAAGGUAGCCGGGUCGCCGGA